GACGAACGCUGGCGGCGUGCUUAACACAUGCAAGUCGAACGGAAAGGCCCUGCUUUUGUGGGGUGCUCGAGUGGCGAACGGGUGAGUAACACGCGAGUAACCUGCCCUUGACUUUGGGAUAACUUCAGGAAACUGGGGCUAAUACCGGAUAGGAGCUCCUGCUGCAUGGUGGGGGUUGGAAAGUUUCGGCGGUUGGGGAUGGACUCGCGGCUUAUCAGCUUGUUGGUGGGGUAGUGGCUUACCAAGGCUUUGACGGGUAGCCGGCCUGAGAGGGUGACCGGCCACAUUGGGACUGAGAUACGGCCCAGACUCCUACGGGAGGCAGCAGUGGGGAAUAUUGCACAAUGGGCGGAAGCCCGAUGCAGCAACGCCGCGUGCGGGAUGACGGCCUUCGGGUUGUAAACCGCUUUCGCCUGUGACGAAGCGUGAGUGACGGUAAUGGGUAAAGAAGCACCGGCUAACUACGUGCCAGCAGCCGCGGUGAUACGUAGGGUGCGAGCGUUGUCCGGAUUUAUUGGGCGUAAAGGGCUCGUAGGUGGUUGAUCGCGUCGGAAGUGUAAUCUUGGGGCUUAACCCUGAGCGUGCUUUCGAUACGGGUUGACUUGAGGAAGGUAGGGGAGAAUGGAAUUCCUGGUGGAGCGGUGGAAUGCGCAGAUAUCAGGAGGAACACCAGUGGCGAAGGCGGUUCUCUGGGCCUUUCCUGACGCUGAGGAGCGAAAGCGUGGGGAGCGAACAGGCUUAGAUACCCUGGUAGUCCACGCUGUAAACGGUGGGUACUAGGUGUGGGGUCCAUUCCACGGGUUCCGUGCCGUAGCUAACGCUUUAAGUACCCCGCCUGGGGAGUACGGCCGCAAGGCUAAAACUCAAAGGAAUUGACGGGGCCCCGCACAAGCGGCGGAGCAUGCGGAUUAAUUCGAUGCAACGCGUAGAACCUUACCUGGGUUUGACAUGGAUCGGGAGUGCUCAGAGAUGGGUGUGCCUCUUUUGGGGUCGGUUCACAGGUGGUGCAUGGCUGUCGUCAGCUCGUGUCGUGAGAUGUUGGGUUAAGUCCCGCAACGAGCGCAACCCUUGUUCACUGUUGCCAGCACGUUAUGGUGGGGACUCAGUGGAGACCGCCGGGGUCAACUCGGAGGAAGGUGGGGAUGACGUCAAGUCAUCAUGCCCCUUAUGUCCAGGGCUUCACGCAUGCUACAAUGGCUGGUACAGAGAGUGGCGAGCCUGUGAGGGUGAGCGAAUCUCGGAAAGCCGGUCUCAGUUCGGAUUGGGGUCUGCAACUCGACCUCAUGAAGUCGGAGUCGCUAGUAAUCGCAGAUCAGCAACGCUGCGGUGAAUACGUUCCCG
RNAcentral lists this ribosomal RNA (1341 nucleotides) under uncultured bacterium. RNAcentral describes it as "16S ribosomal RNA". It matches the Rfam family "Bacterial small subunit ribosomal RNA", at positions 28 to 1376 of the family's 1533-position model. The record is from RNAcentral.